UACAGAGGGUGCGAGCGUUAAUCGGAAUUACUGGGCGUAAAGCGUGCGUAGACGGUUAUUUAAGUCGGGUGUGAAAGCCCCGGGCUCAACCUGGGAAUUGCAUUCGAGACUGAAUAGCUAGGGUACGGUAGAGGGAAGCGGAAUUUCCGGUGUAGCGGUGAAAUGCGUAGAUAUCGGAAGGAACAUCAGUGGCGAAAGCGGCUUCCUGGACCAGUACCGACGUUCAGGCACGAAAGCGUGGGGAUCAAACAGG
Molecule: ribosomal RNA, 253 nt
Filed under: uncultured bacterium
Lineage: Bacteria
Description: partial 16S ribosomal RNA
Rfam family: Bacterial small subunit ribosomal RNA
Source: RNAcentral